Molecule: ribosomal RNA, 345 nt
Filed under: Triticum aestivum (bread wheat)
Lineage: Eukaryota; Viridiplantae; Streptophyta; Magnoliopsida; Poales; Poaceae
Description: partial small subunit ribosomal RNA
Source: RNAcentral
AUGUACCGCCAGAGCCGGGUCCUCGACGCGGCGGACCAGAGGCUGGGCGGCGAGUUUGACAGGCCGCAGAUGGAGCGUCUGCUCGUGACGGGGCUCUGGUGCGCGCACCACGACCCGAUGCAGCGGCCGUCCGUUACCGAGGCUAUAGACGUCCUGCGAUUGCAAGACGCAGAGUUGCCGAUGCUCGGUGGAACGAUUGGUGGUUCCGGGGACAUCCUCUCCUUGGAGAGACGGGUUUACGACGGUGACGACGCGUUAUCUGGAAACUCAAACUCUGGUUAUGUGCAUGCAUGCAUUCAAACCGAGUAUCUUACUGUCGAGUAUUCAACUUUUCUCUUUCCAUAA